GGAGCCGGCCAGACAGUCGCGUCAUGCGCAAGCAUGCCGAGGAAAGUCCGGGCUCCACAGGGCACGGUGCCAGGUAACGCCUGGGCGGCGCGAGCCGACGGAAAGUGCAACAGAAAGAUACCGCCGAUGGCCCUCGCCACCCCGGUGCGGCCCCACACAGGGGGGACAUGACGAUGCGAAGCAUCGGCCAAGUCCCUUCAGGGAAGGCCGCAGCGGGGUGGCGAGGGAUCAGGCAAGGGUGAAAUGGUGCGGUAAGAGCGCACCGCGAGCCUGGCAACAGGCCGGCACGGCAAACCCCACCGGGAGCAAGGCCAAAUAGGGACCUCAUGACGCGGCCCGCGUCGGGUCCGGGUAGGCUGCUCGAGCGCCGCGGUGACGCGUCGCCUAGAGGAAUGACUGUCCACGACAGAACCCGGCUUAUCGGCCGGCUCCGCCA
This 436-nucleotide RNase P RNA is filed under the name Pseudoxanthomonas sp. Its description in RNAcentral is "RNase P RNA component class A". It matches the Rfam family "Bacterial RNase P class A". Rfam says of the family: Ribonuclease P (RNase P) is a ubiquitous endoribonuclease, found in archaea, bacteria and eukarya as well as chloroplasts and mitochondria. Its best characterised activity is the generation of mature 5'-ends of tRNAs by cleaving the 5'-leader elements of precursor-tRNAs. Lineage: Bacteria; Pseudomonadati; Pseudomonadota; Gammaproteobacteria; Lysobacterales; Lysobacteraceae. RNAcentral also lists the same sequence under 1 other name. The record is from RNAcentral.